CGAUCCCAAAAAAUCCAAUCCCAGCCCAAAAUUUCCCAUGGAAUUCCAGGGAUUGGGUCGGUGUUGACCAAUCCCAUCCCAGAUUUCCCCAUGGAAUUCCAGGGAUUUGGGUCCCUUGGCCAUGGAUCCAUCUAUCCCAAAAAUUCCCAAUCCCAUCCCAGAUUUCCCCACGGAAUUCCAUGGAUUGGGUCGGUGUUGACCUUGGCCAUGGAUCCAUCGAUCCCAAAAAUUCCCAAUCCCAUCCCAGAUUUUCUCCCAUGGAAUUCCAGGGAUUUGGGUUCCUUGGCCAUGGAUCCGUCGAUCCCAAAAAUUCCCAAUCCCAUCCCAAAAUUUCUCCAUGGAAUUCCGUGGAUUUGGGUUUACACUGACCUGGUUGACUCCCAAACCUCCUUCCCCACCCGAAAUCCCGGAAAAUUCCCCAAAAUCCCCACAAAAUCCUUCAAAAAAAAAAUUCCUGGAUGCCUCCACCGCCAUUUUUUUGGGGGAAUUUUUUUGGGAAAAACGCCAAAACUCAUCCCAGUCUUUGGCCAUUCCCAAAAUUCCCAAAAAACCCCACAAAAUCCUCCAAAAAAAUUCCUUUUGGUGCCUCUGAUGCCGUUUUUUGGGGAAUUUUUUGGGAAAAAUGCCAAAACUCAUUCCUGGUCUUCGGUUUUUCCAAAAAAACCCAAAAAAUCUCACAAAAUUCUCAAAAAAAAUCUACUAGAUGACUCCGAUGAUGUUUUUUUCGGGGGAAAAACGCCAAAACUCUCUUCAAUCUUUGGUUUUUCCCAAAAAUCCCAAAAAAAUCCUCCAAAAAAAUUUCCUGGAUGCCUCCACCGCCAUUUUUUGGGGGGGAAAAAAUGCCAAAACUCAUUCCUGGUCUUCGGUUUUUCCCAAAAAAUCCAAAAAAAUCUCACAAAAUUCUCAAAAAAAAUCUACUGGAUGCCUCCGAUGACGUUUUUUUGGGGGGGAGUUUUUUGGGAAAAACGCCAAAACUCACCUUGGCCUUUGGCCGUUCUCCUCCGGUUCCGGCGUUUUCCGGCCUGGCCUUGUUCCCGCACCAAUUCCCGGAGCAUUUUUUCCACCUGGCUCCUCCCGGCCGUUUGGAGGAUCAGCCCCAGCUGCCGGCGCAGAUCCGGCUCCGCCCCUCCCCCGCCGCCGGAACCCCCCGGGGGAGGGGGCGGCGCCGGGGGGGGCUCGGGGUGGUUCUGGUCCCCCUCGGCUUCCGUAGCUGGAAAAGGGGAGGGGGAAAAAUGGGGAUAAAACCCCCCAAAAAAAACCGGGAUUUGGGGGGGUUCCGGGAAAGAUUUGAAGGGUUCGGGGUGGAGUUGUUGAAAAUUCCCGGUGGUUUUGGUCAAAUUCAAAGGGAAUUCCUGAAAAUUCCAAAGGUUUUGGUUAAAUUUAAGGGGAAUUCCUGAAAAUUCCAAAGGUUUCGGUCAAAUUUUGUGGGAAUCGGUGAAAAUUCCAAAGGUUUUGGUUAAAUUUAAAGGGAAUUCCUGAAAAUUCCAAAGGUUUUGGUCAAAUUUAAGGGGAAUUCCUGAAAAUUCCAAAAGUUUUGGUCAAAUUUAAUUGGAAUUCCUGAAAAUUCCAAAGGUUUCAGUCAAAUUUAAG
Molecule: long non-coding RNA, 1590 nt
Filed under: Cyanistes caeruleus (blue tit)
Lineage: Eukaryota; Metazoa; Chordata; Aves; Passeriformes; Paridae
Description: lncRNA (ENSCCEG00000005438.1)
Source: RNAcentral